This 287-nucleotide long non-coding RNA is filed under the name Elaeis guineensis (African oil palm). RNAcentral describes it as "long non-coding RNA (EGUI_LNC024035)". Lineage: Eukaryota; Viridiplantae; Streptophyta; Magnoliopsida; Arecales; Arecaceae. The record is from RNAcentral.
GGUUAGAGGAUGAGAUAAUAAAGCAUGCUCUCCUGCGCUGCUUGUGGAUGAGGUUGAUUUGGAGGAGGAUGGAUGAUCAACCAUGGGAGGAGAGCACUAGCCCUUAGCUAAACCCUUUUCUGGAUGCGAUUCAUCAGAGCACUACUGAGGGGUCGACCAUACCUAGGGGGUCGAAUAGCAUAUAUUGCCUAUCAGAUCUAACUUGCCAAGAACAACUUGACCUUCGAAGCUAAGGUGGUCCUUGCUUAUCAAGUGCUGGAGAGAGUAUUUUGCUGGACUACUGAGUA